Molecule: transfer RNA, 68 nt
Filed under: Haemodracon trachyrhinus
Lineage: Eukaryota; Metazoa; Chordata; Lepidosauria; Squamata; Phyllodactylidae
Description: tRNA-Lys
Source: RNAcentral
CUCUGAGUAGCUAUAACUACCAAAGCGCCAGCCUUUUAAUCUGGAGACGGGCACAAUCCCCUCAGAGU